UACGAAGGGGGCUAGCGUUGCUCGGAAUCACUGGGCGUAAAGGGUGCGUAGGCGGGUCUUUAAGUCAGGGGUGAAAUCCUGGAGCUCAACUCCAGAACUACCUUUGAUACUGAGGAUCUUGAGUUCGGGAGAGGUGAGUGGAACUGCGAGUGUAGAGGUGAAAUUCGUAGAUAUUGGGAAGAACACCGGUGGCGAAGGCGGCUCACUGGCUCGUAACUGACGCUCAUGCACGACAGCGUGGGGAUCAAACAGG
RNAcentral lists this ribosomal RNA (253 nucleotides) under uncultured bacterium. Its description in RNAcentral is "partial 16S ribosomal RNA". It matches the Rfam family "Bacterial small subunit ribosomal RNA", at positions 524 to 776 of the family's 1533-position model. The record is from RNAcentral.